AACAAAACAACAACAAAUACGUCAAAAACUAUAAAAAAAAAUAAAUUAUUUAAUUUUUUUUACCAAAUAUUUAAAUGGGCCACUAGAGGGCGCUCGAGGACCACGAGUGGUCCGCGGACCAGCCUUUGACUACAGGCCGCCCCAGACCCACUUGUCUCAGCUCGCCGGGCUCCAAAGGGGGCGGACACCGAGAGGAGACGUCCUUGAGGCCGAGGACCGGCUCCGUGUUCCCGGGAAACUCACAGACUGUAGCCGCCCCUCUGCUGCGACAACAUGUGGUCAGCUGUGGUCAGAGCCUCGCAUGGUGGUGAAGUGGAGGGGUUGGGGCGGUGCACCGGGACGACAACACCGACAGACGGAGGUUAAAAUGGAACUCAGGUGACGUCACUGCCUUUGGGUCCGACAUGUCUGUUAUAUCUUGUCUGUACUGUUGUUACAAAGUUGUUGUUUUUUAAAAAAAAGAAACGGUGUUUUAUUUUUUAGCGUUAGCUUAGCAUCAUGUUACCGCGGUGUUUACAGUAAAAACACAAGCGUAACUACGUCACGAAUGAGCCGCCGCUAAAUUAUUAUUAUUUUCACUCUUUGCUGUUUUGUUGUUUGUCGUUCUGUUAAAUAUAUAUAUAUAUAUUUUUUUACAUUUACUUUUCCAAAUAUACAUGUUCGACAUUUUGAUACGUCGUCGUUGUGAUUUUAUUUCGAAAGAACAAAACCGGAAGUUACGGUUUGUGUUUACAGCCACGAGCGAAGACAAACAAAAUGAGUGACGUCUGAUUUAUUUUCACUGCAGAUUCUAUUUUAUUUAUUUUUGUUUGUUUAUUUAUUUACAGCUAUUAGUUACUUUAAACUUUAGAAUUUUUUUCUGUAAAUUACGAUGUUUUUUUGUUGUUUUUUUUUACAUACACGAUGUGGUGUUUUCAAUAAAACACGUAUUUUUUUUUCUUUACCAACAUUUUCGGUACAAUAGGGAAUGACGUCAUAUCAACACGUUGACUUUUGUUGUUGGUCCAAAUUGUAAGACAUUUAAAACGUUCUAAUUUUAUAGUAAGAUU
Cynoglossus semilaevis (tongue sole) is the source of this 1049-nucleotide long non-coding RNA. RefSeq lists it as uncharacterized. The record is from RefSeq and is a predicted model, not a curated record. Lineage: Eukaryota; Metazoa; Chordata; Actinopteri; Pleuronectiformes; Cynoglossidae. The transcript has 2 exons.